Oryza glumipatula is the source of this 202-nucleotide non-coding RNA. The record is from Rfam. Lineage: Eukaryota; Viridiplantae; Streptophyta; Magnoliopsida; Poales; Poaceae.
AAAAAGAUAAAUUAUGGGUUUCCGUGUCUAAGUUUGACUGUCCGUUUUAUUUGAUAUAUGAAAAAAAAUAAAAAUAUAAUUCACGUAUAAUGUAUUAAUCAUGUUUUAUCAUCUAACAAUAAUAAAAAUACUAAUUAUAAAAAAAAUUUAUAUAAGACGGACAGUCAAACGUUGGACAAAGAAAUUAGUGUUUGUCUUUUUU